This 1530-nucleotide long non-coding RNA is filed under the name Lepidothrix coronata (blue-crowned manakin). RNAcentral describes it as "lncRNA (ENSLCOG00000008093.1)". Lineage: Eukaryota; Metazoa; Chordata; Aves; Passeriformes; Pipridae. The record is from RNAcentral.
AACCAACAGCAGGCAAUUUGAUGGAAAAAAAACUGAGGCCACACAAACCAAUUGGGGAGGGUUUUUUGGGUUGCUUCUCACCUAAGAGACUAUCCUGUAAUGCACCAGGUAAGUUAUCUCCAAUAAGAAACUUAGUGGCCACACUGCAAGGGAUGGGGCCUGGGCACAAGGCUGGAGAAGCUCCUCUGGUUUGGUCACUUCUGGGAAGGGUUCUGCUCAGGUGAUUGACUGUGGGGGUGCUGAGCUAGACUUGAUGACUCCACAGGUAUCUUUCAAAGAUCCAGUUUUUGCGAGGUCCAUUCUUUCCUCUGAUGUCUUUCUCUCUCCCCCCUCUUAGCAGCCUUCAGCUCUUCUCCAAUAUUCCUUUGUCAGCUGUUGAGGAAUUUGGCCACUUUUUCCCUUCAAUUCUGAACACUUUGUCUAAACUUUAUGAAAUGACAGGCUAGAGGAAAUCCACACCAAGGUGCUGCUGCACAUUCCCAGUCAUAAAGUCAUAAACAGAAGUGUUCUUAGGGCUGUUUCAAUGUUUGUCCUGACAUUCCUUCUAGGGAGCUUUGGUCUACAUUUCAACCGACUUCCUAUUUCUUCCUGGGCUUCAGAACAUUCACUUCCAGGACUUUUCCUCCUUAAUGACUAUAAGAUGGUAAUGUCUCCUCAGCAAGACUGAUCCUUGAACAGGUGUUCCUCAUUAAACGAGCCUUACUUGUUCUUUCCAGUGGAAGGGUGGCACAGUCAUAGCUGCGUCUGCCUUCCACUAAACAAGCUUGCUUCUUUCUGCAGUAGGGGCUGAAAACGUGCUUUCUAGCUGCUAUGCCAAUGUGCUCUGGCUCCACAGCUGCCUAGUCUUGAGUUCAGGAAGCUCUGGGAUAUAGCAGUUGUGCUUAAACCUUUCCCACUGACAAAGAGCAUGUAUUUUCAUACUACAAUUAUUACUAAAUCUCCCCUGAAUUGAACUAUUUUGAAUUUUCAUUAAGCAGCAUUAACAAAUUGUUUCUUAAUUUGAGGGAUUUGUGUGAGCUUUAUAAAUAUAUAUAUAUAUAUAUACACAGACACACGCUUCAUAUUGUACUGUGUAUUUCCAGGUAUCCCACUGCAAGGCUUGUCAAGCAAAGAGGUUUAUUUUUCUCAUAUCAAACUAUCCAGUUACUUAUCAGAAGGUAAACAAAAACUUAAUUCUUGCUAUUUAAUGGCAAAAGAGUUGAAUUGUGUUCUACCAAGCAGGUUCUGUGGAGGUAUUUAAAACACGUGCUAAUUUUACACCUUUAAUUAGAAAAGCUGUUUUACUUUGUUUUCACUUAUCAAGGCUUUGCACCUGAGCUGCUGUGAGUGCCUGCGUUCCCAUCUACCCUGUCUUAAACAUGUAAACAAAUACAUGUUCCUCAACAUUUCCUGCCUGCUAAGUCUUAGCAUUUCCCAAAACAGGACCUAAGGGCAGCAUGGAUUGCCAAGGAACCACAGGGAAGGGAAAGAAAAUAAUCUUGAUAAGCUGCUGUUUAAUUGGUUAAUAAAUGAGAGCUAAAAUAUAAGACA